Molecule: ribosomal RNA, 594 nt
Filed under: uncultured Planctomycetota bacterium
Lineage: Bacteria; Pseudomonadati; Planctomycetota
Description: bacterial SSU rRNA
Rfam family: Bacterial small subunit ribosomal RNA
Source: RNAcentral
AAUGAACGUUGGCGGCGUGGAUUAGGCAUGCAAGUCGAACGCUUCCCAUGUAGCAAUACAUGGGAAGAGUGGCGUAAGGGAGAGUAAUCCAUGGUUAGCUACCCUCGGGUCUGGGAUAGCGGCGGGAAACUGCCGGUAAUACCAGAUGACAUCUUCGGAUCAAAGGGGUGGAUCCGCCCGGGGAGGGCACCGUGUCCCUAUCAGCUAUUUGGCGGUGUAAUGGACCCCCAGGGCUAAAACGGGUAUGGGGCGUGAGAGCGUGCCCCCACUCACUGGGACUGAGACACUGCCCAGACACCUACGGGUGGCUGCAGUCGAGAAUCUUCGGCAAUGGACGCAAGUCUGACCGAGCGACGCCGCGUGCGGGAUGAAGGCCUUCGGGUUGUAAACCGCUGUCGUAGGGGAGGAGGCGACCGUGAAGAACGGAAGUUGACCGAUCCUAGGAGGAAGGGCCGGCUAAUCUCGUGCCAGCAGCCGCGGUAAUACGAGAGCCCAAACGUUAUCGGAUUACUGGGCUUAAAGAGUCGUAGGCGCGGGAAAGUAGGUGUGAAGCCUCGCUCACCGAGGAUUGCGUCUAACUACGUGCUGAGACCA